UUCCUGGUGAUUUCUGGUGGUUUGUGAUGUUUUCUGGUGGUUUUGUGGUGGUUCCUGGUGGUUCCUGGUGGUUCCUGGUGGUUUUUGGUGAUGUCUGGUGGGUUUUGUGGUUGGUUCCUGGUGGUUCCUGGUGGUUUUUGGUGAUGUCUGGUGGUUUCUGGUGGUUGUGUGGUGGUUCCUGGUGGUUCCUGGUGGUUUUGGGGUGGUUCCUGGUGGUUCCUGGGGGGGUUCCUGAUGGUUUUUGGUGAGGUCUGGUGGGUUUUGUGGUUGGUUCCUGGUGGUUCCUGGUGGUUUUCUGGUGAUUUGUGGUGGUUUUGUGGUGGUUCCUGGUGGUUUUGUGAUGGUUCCUGGUGGUUUUGUGGUGGUUCCUGGUGGUUUUGUGAUGGCUCCUGGUGGUUUUGUGGUGGUUCCUGGUGGUUCCUGGUGGUUUUGGGGUGGUGUUCACCAAGAGGGACGUCUUCCUCAAGAGGGGCGAGGUGAUGAACCUGCUGAUGUUCCUGUCCACGUGGGAUGGGAAGGUGCCCCAGCCGGCCAUCCUGAAGCCGCGGCCGCUCUGGACGGGGAAGCAGAUCUUCUCCCUCAUCAUCCCCGGCCACAUCAACUGCAUCCGCACCCACAGCACCCACCCCGACGACGAGGACAGCGGCCCCUACAAGCACAUCUCCCCCGGGGACACCAAGGUGAUCGUGGAGAACGGGGAGCUGAUCAUGGGCAUCCUGUGCAAGAAGUCCCUGGGGACAUCGGCCGGGUCCCUGGUGCACAUCUCCUACCUGGAGAUGGGCCACGACACCACGCGGCUCUUCUACAGCAACAUCCAGACCGUCAUCAACAACUGGCUGCUCAUCGAGGGUCACACCAUCGGCAUCGGGGACUCCAUCGCCGACGCCAAGACCUACCAGGACAUCCAGAACACCAUCAAGAAGGCCAAGCAGGAUGUGAUCGAGGUGAUCGAGAAGGCCCACAACAACGAGCUGGAGCCCACCCCAGGCAACACCUUGCGCCAGACCUUCGAGAACCAGGUGAACCGGAUCCUCAACGACGCCCGCGACAAGACGGGGUCUUCUGCUCAGAAAUCCCUGUCCGAGUACAACAACUUCAAAUCCAUGGUGGUCUCGGGGGCCAAGGGCUCCAAGAUCAACAUCUCCCAGGUUUGGGGAGCUCCAUGUGGGGUUUGGGGUGGUUCCUGGUGGAUCUCAGGGGGUUUGGGGUGGUUCCUGUGGGAUCUCAGGGGGUUUGGGGUGGUUCCUGGU
This 1250-nucleotide long non-coding RNA is filed under the name Cyanistes caeruleus (blue tit). RNAcentral's name for it is "lncRNA (ENSCCEG00000013608.1)". The record is from RNAcentral. Lineage: Eukaryota; Metazoa; Chordata; Aves; Passeriformes; Paridae.